UCCUUUGAGCGACUUGUUUCUUGGUUUCAUAUCACUUCCUGUCUUCGUCGUGUUUCUCUUCCUGUGGACGGCGUGAUGUUAUCGGAGCGAGAUGGCAGCGUUUAUAUCUGAGGAAUUCUGGCUUCAUUUCUGAGCUGUGGGAGGAAGUGGAGACGUGUCAUCCAUCUUUAUUUGGAUCUGUUCAGUCUGGAGUCGAGAUGAAGAACAAGCAUUUUGAAUUUCUUAGUCACAAUAUCGUCAUAACAAAAUACUACAGAUGUAAAUGUCUCCUCCACUGUGGAAUAAAACAGAAAGAAUUUGUCUCUAUUUAACAAAUAAAUAAAAAAGGUCAAAUUCACUGAACUGUA
Hippoglossus stenolepis (Pacific halibut) is the source of this 347-nucleotide long non-coding RNA. RefSeq lists it as uncharacterized. The transcript has 2 exons. The record is from RefSeq and is a predicted model, not a curated record. NCBI's taxonomy places the organism in Eukaryota, Metazoa, Chordata, Actinopteri, Pleuronectiformes, Pleuronectidae.